CUGGCUCAGAACGAACGCUGGCGGCGCGUUUAAGCAUGCAGUCGAGCGGCAAGGGCCUUCGGGCCCCUAGAGCGGCGGACGGGUGAGUAACACGUGGACAAUCUGCCCCCCGGCCCGGGAUAGCCCAGGGAAACCUGGAUUAAUACCGGAUGAGACGGGACCCGCGAUGGCGGGAUCCGGGAAAGGCGCUGCGGCGCCGCCGGGGGAUGAGUCUGCGUCCCAUUAGCUAGACGGCGGGGUAACGGCCCACCGUGGCGACGAUGGGUAGCCGGCCUGAGAGGGUGGACGGCCACAUUGGAACUGAGACACGGUCCAGACUCCUACGGGAGGCAGCAGCUAAGAAUCUUCCGCAAUGGGCGAAAGCCUGACGGAGCGACGCCCGCGUGAACGAAGAAGGCCGUGAGGUUGUAAAGUUCUUUUCGGGAGGGGGAACAACCGUGGCAGGGAAUGGCCGCGGGAUGACGUGAAUCCCGGAAUAAGCCCCGGCUAACUACGUGCCAGCCGCUGC
RNAcentral lists this ribosomal RNA (508 nucleotides) under uncultured bacterium. RNAcentral describes it as "bacterial SSU rRNA". It matches the Rfam family "Bacterial small subunit ribosomal RNA", at positions 19 to 518 of the family's 1533-position model. The record is from RNAcentral.